This 450-nucleotide ribosomal RNA is filed under the name uncultured bacterium. Its description in RNAcentral is "bacterial SSU rRNA". It matches the Rfam family "Bacterial small subunit ribosomal RNA", at positions 29 to 523 of the family's 1533-position model. The record is from RNAcentral.
CCAACGAACGCUGGCGGCAGGCUAACACAUGCAUGUCGAGCGCGCCCUUCGGGGUGAGCGGCGGACGGGUUAGUAACGGGAACGUGCCCAGAUCUAAGGAAUAGCCACUGGAAACGGUGAGUAAUACCUUAUACGCCCUUCGGGGGAAAGAUUUAUCAGGAUUUGGAUCGGCCCGCGUUAGAUUAGGUAGUUGGUGGGGUAAUGGCCUACCAAGCCUACGAUCUAUAGCUGGUUUUAGAGGAUGAUCAGCAACACUGGGACUGAGACACGGCCCAGACUCCUACGGGAGGCAGCAGUGGGGAAUCUUGGACAUGGGGGCAACCUGAUCCAGCCAUGCCGCGUGAGUGAUCGAACGCCUUACGGUCGUAAAGCUCUUUCGCCUGUGAUGAUACUGCACACGUCGCACGUAAACAAACCCCAGCAAACUCCGAGACCAACAGACCGCCGGCA